This 186-nucleotide transfer RNA is filed under the name Pneumocystis jirovecii. Its description in RNAcentral is "tRNA-Pseudo(TTA)". Lineage: Eukaryota; Fungi; Ascomycota; Pneumocystomycetes; Pneumocystales; Pneumocystaceae. The record is from RNAcentral.
AAUUUUAUAAUUUAGUUAUGAACAUUUUAUAUUUUAAUUAAUUAAAAUAUUUGAAUAUCUUAUAAAAAUAUAUUUAAUGUUUGAUAUUUGGUGUAUAAAUAAAUAAUAUUAAAUCUGAUUUUUUUUAAUGUAAUCUAUAAAAUGAUAUAUUUAUGGUUUAAAUAUAGAUUAAACUAUAUAAAAUUG